This 337-nucleotide unclassified non-coding RNA is filed under the name soil metagenome. RNAcentral's name for it is "partial contains 5.8S ribosomal RNA, internal transcribed spacer 2, and large subunit ribosomal RNA". The stretch from base 1 to 120 matches the Rfam family "5.8S ribosomal RNA", at positions 35 to 154 of the family's 154-position model. The record is from RNAcentral.
GAUGAAGAACGUAGCGAAACGCGAUAAGUAGUGUGAAUUGCAGAAUUCAGUGAAUCAUCGAAUCUUUGAACGCACAUUGCGCCCCAUGGUAUUCCGUGGGGCAUGCCUGUUCGAGCGUCAUUUACCCCCUCAAGCUCCGCUUGGUGUUGGGCGUCUGUCCCGCUUCGCGCGCGGACUCGCCCCAAAGGUAUUGGCAGCGGUCGUGCCAGCUUCUCGCGCAGCACAUUGCGCUUCUCGAGGCACCGGUGGGCCCGCGUCCAUCAAGCUCACCCCCCCAGUUUGACCUCGGAUCAGGUAGGGAUACCCGCUGAACUUAAGCAUAUCAAUAAGCGGAGGA